RNAcentral lists this ribosomal RNA (439 nucleotides) under uncultured Anaerolineaceae bacterium. Its description in RNAcentral is "bacterial SSU rRNA". It matches the Rfam family "Bacterial small subunit ribosomal RNA", at positions 28 to 455 of the family's 1533-position model. Lineage: Bacteria; Bacillati; Chloroflexota; Anaerolineae; Anaerolineales; Anaerolineaceae. The record is from RNAcentral.
GAUGAACGCUGGCGGCGUGCCUAAUACGUGCAAGUCGAACGGAGAUUCUGUCGUAAUUCGUUACAGCGGAAAUCUCAGUGGCGAACGGGUGAGUAACGCGUUGGUGACCUGCCCCGGAGAGGGGGAUAACAGCUUGAAAGGGCUGCUAAUACCCCAUGAUGUCUAGAGGGUUAGAAACUUCUAGACGAAAGGCUUCGGUCGCUUCGGGAGGGGCCUGCGUCCCAUCAGCUAGUUGGUAGGGUAAUGGCCUACCAAGGCGAAGACGGGUAGGGGACCCGAGAGGGUGACCCCCCACAAUGGAACUGAAACACGGUCCAUACACCUACGGGUGGCAGCAGUAGGGAAUAUUGCACAAUGGGCGAAAGCCUGAUGCAGCAACGCCGCGUGCGCGAAGAAGGCCUUCGGGUUGUAAAGCGCUUUUCGGGGAGAAGAGAAAGGA